UACGGAGGGUGCAAGCGUUAAUCGGAAUUACUGGGCGUAAAGGGCGCGUAGGCGGACCUUCAAGUCAAGGGUGAAAGGCCUGGGCUCAACCUGGGAACUGCCUUUGAGACUGAGGGUCUCGAGUCCGGGAGAGGAUGGCGGAAUUCCCAGUGUAGAGGUGAAAUUCGUAGAUAUUGGGAAGAACACCGGUGGCGAAGGCGGCCAUCUGGCCCGGCACUGACGCUGAGGCGCGAAAGCGUGGGGAGCAAACAGG
This 253-nucleotide unclassified non-coding RNA is filed under the name uncultured Kiloniellaceae bacterium. RNAcentral's name for it is "contains 16S-23S intergenic spacer region". It matches the Rfam family "Bacterial small subunit ribosomal RNA", at positions 524 to 776 of the family's 1533-position model. The record is from RNAcentral. Lineage: Bacteria; Pseudomonadati; Pseudomonadota; Alphaproteobacteria; Rhodospirillales; Kiloniellaceae.